RNAcentral lists this ribosomal RNA (489 nucleotides) under uncultured bacterium. RNAcentral's name for it is "bacterial SSU rRNA". It matches the Rfam family "Bacterial small subunit ribosomal RNA", at positions 36 to 518 of the family's 1533-position model. The record is from RNAcentral.
CUGGCGGCGUGCUUAACACAUGCAAGUCGAACGGGGAGUUAUCGAGCGGAGGGCUUCGGCCGGAAGGUUGGUAAUUCGAGUGGCGGACGGGUGAGUAACGCGUGAGCAACCUGUCCCAGACAGGGGGAUAACACUUGGAGACAGGUGCUAAUACCGCAUAAGACCACGGGGUCACAUGGCCCAGGGGUAAAAGGAGGAAUCCGGUUUGGGGUGGGCUCGCGUCCGAUUAGAUAGUUGGUGAGGUAAAGGCCCACCAAGUCGACGAUCGGUAGCCGACCUGAGAGGGUGAUCGGCCACAUUGGAACUGAGAGACGGUCCAAACUCCUACGGGAGGCAGCAGUGGGGAAUAUUGGGCAAUGGGCGAAAGCCUGACCCAGCAACGCCGCGUGAGUGAAGAAGGCCUUCGGGUUGUAAAGCUCUGUUAUAGUUGACGAAGGAAGUGACGGUAGGCUAUAAGGAAGCCCCGGCUAACUACGUGCCAGCAGCUGC